RNAcentral lists this transfer RNA (58 nucleotides) under Parabreviscolex niepini. RNAcentral's name for it is "tRNA-Arg". Lineage: Eukaryota; Metazoa; Platyhelminthes; Cestoda; Caryophyllidea; Caryophyllaeidae. The record is from RNAcentral.
GGCGUUGAUUAUUAAGUCUGUGUUUCGGCCACAGAUAAGGAUUAAAGUCCCAAUGCUU